GGGGUUGUGGCUUAGAGGUAGAGUGUUCACCUACCAUGUGUGAGGCCCUGAGUUCUAUCCUCUGCACCACA
This 71-nucleotide transfer RNA is filed under the name Marmota monax (woodchuck). RNAcentral describes it as "tRNA.Gly". The record is from RNAcentral. Lineage: Eukaryota; Metazoa; Chordata; Mammalia; Rodentia; Sciuridae.